RNAcentral lists this ribosomal RNA (391 nucleotides) under uncultured bacterium. Its description in RNAcentral is "bacterial SSU rRNA". It matches the Rfam family "Bacterial small subunit ribosomal RNA", at positions 30 to 424 of the family's 1533-position model. The record is from RNAcentral.
AUUGAACGCUGGCGGCAUGCCUUACACAUGCAAGUCGAACGGUAACGGGCCUUCGGGUGCCGACGAGUGGCGAACGGGUGAGUAAUGCAUCGGAACGUACCUUUCAGUGGGGGAUAACGUAGCGAAAGUUACGCUAAUACCGCAUAUUCUGUGAGCAGGAAAGCAGGGGAUCGCAAGACCUUGCGCUGAUUGAGCGGCCGAUGUCAGAUUAGCUAGUUGGUGAGGUAAAGGCUCACCAAGGCGACGAUCUGUAGCGGGUCUGAGAGGAUGAUCCGCCACACUGGAACUGAGACACGGUCCAGACUCCUACGGGAGGCAGCAGUGGGGAAUUUUGGACAAUGGGGGCAACCCUGAUCCAGCCAUGCCGCGUGAGUGAAGAAGGCCUCGGGUU